This is a long non-coding RNA of Salmo salar (Atlantic salmon), 986 nucleotides long. RefSeq annotates it as copper transport protein ATOX1. NCBI's taxonomy places the organism in Eukaryota, Metazoa, Chordata, Actinopteri, Salmoniformes, Salmonidae. The record is from RefSeq and is a predicted model, not a curated record.
UGUAGCAAUGUAGCUAUAGGAAAAAAGGAAUUCUCCCAAAAUAAUUUAAUUGUAAAGUGUUCUGAAAAAUAAUUAUAUUAGUCAGUACAAUUGUGCUCUUAUCCCACUAACGUUAUACAUAUGAAUUUUGCCUCAAAAUGCAAAGUUACAUUCACCAAUAUCUAGCAAAGUGUUGAUGGUCCCUAACUUUGAUGUUGCUAGCCCGGUAGCAACACAUUCACUACCUAGUUAGUCGUGCAAGCUUUGAAAGAGGCGAAAGUCAAUUGAUCUUGCACUCAACCACAACAGCAACAUGACGACCAAGCACGAAUUCUUUGUGGACAUGACAUGUGAGGGAUGCUCUGGGGCAGUCACCCGAGUCCUCAAUAAACUGGGUGGUGUUCAAUUUGAGAUCGACCUCCCCAACAAGAAGGUUUUCAUUGAGUCUGACAAGGACACGGACGUGCUUCUGGAAACACUUAAGAAGACUGGAAAGGCAGCUAACUACAUCGGCCCCAAGUGAUGAAUCAUCCUCUUUUCUUUAUAGAACAGCUGUUGGUUGGUGCUGAUAUGAAGGAUGAUCAUGAGAAGAAAGAACCCUUGCUGGCAUGUCUUCAUGGACCACUGGAAUGAGCUUGCACUGCCAAGCUGUCCACUUUCACUUAUUUAAGCACUAUUAUUGUUGUGUCCCAAAUGGCACUGUAAAGGCCCAGGUCCAAAGUAGGGCACUAUAUACGGAAUAGAGUACCCUUUUGGGACGCAUCCACUAUGAACAUCCAGUGUGAUUGAUGCGCAGAAUUAAAUAUAUCAUGUAUCUAUAUGGGUUCACUUUACUGCAGGGAAAUGAAAUGAUGUAAGAUCGCUGUCUCUGCUUUGUCUUAAUGAAAGCACCUAUUGUAAUUCACGUUGAUUUGUGGGGGCAACCAUCCUGUAUUACGGUUUCCAUUCACUGUCUGAAUAUUGUUCAUGUUUACCCACAUGUCAAAUAAAUAAGGUGGUUCUAGGCA